GGAAUGAGUUAAGUAUAAACCCCUUUACAAGUAUCAAUUGGAGGGCAAGUCUGGUGCCAGCAGCCGCGGUAAUUCCAGCUCCAAUAGCGUAUAUUAAAGUUGUUGCAGUUAAAAAGCUCGUAGUUGGAUUUCUGUUAAUACCUUAUAUAUAAUAUUUUUUUUUAAAUAUUAUUAUGUAAGAUUAACAUAAUUCAUAUUUUUUAAGACUGAAUU
RNAcentral lists this ribosomal RNA (213 nucleotides) under Cryptosporidium felis. Its description in RNAcentral is "partial 18S ribosomal RNA". It matches the Rfam family "Eukaryotic small subunit ribosomal RNA", at positions 511 to 723 of the family's 1831-position model. The record is from RNAcentral. Lineage: Eukaryota; Apicomplexa; Conoidasida; Eucoccidiorida; Cryptosporidiidae.